GACUAGAAAACUGAGGCCCUAGGAGGAUGGAUUUAUUGGUCCUUUUUUUUUUUCCUCCAACUCCUGAGCCUCAUAGUGUCAGGACUCUAGCUGUGUGUUAAAGAAAUUAAAAAUAAAUAAACCCUACAACUCUUUCCCUUUCCCUCUCCCUUCACUCUUCUUUUUUUCCUUUCCACCUGCUAAUACUUUCCCCCUCUCUCUCCUUGUAUAUUUAUAAUAGGUUGGGAUCUGAAUGCAGAGGAGUUUUAAUAGAAAGACCAGAACACCUCUCCAUUUGUAGAAUCCUGCUCCAGAGUAGAAGAUUCCAAGUGUGAUAGAGAUUCAGUGCAAUACUACCAGACACAGUCUAAAGCAACUGAACUUCUCAUUCACCUGGGAAGAGAGCAUGGCCAAGAACAGAAACCCAGGAAAGUCAACUGGCAAAGAUGCACCCAAUUGGCUUUCCGACUUUUGACCCGGGCUCUACUUGAAGUUUCAGAGGAUCAGGACCUGGGAGGACAACAAGUUCUUCAUUUAGUAGAUUGA
RNAcentral lists this long non-coding RNA (525 nucleotides) under Phascolarctos cinereus (koala). RNAcentral's name for it is "lncRNA (ENSPCIG00000017225.2)". The record is from RNAcentral. Lineage: Eukaryota; Metazoa; Chordata; Mammalia; Diprotodontia; Phascolarctidae.